AGUGAACGCUGGCGGUAGGCCUAACACAUGCAAGUCGAACGGCAGCACAGUAAGAGCUUGCUCUUACGGGUGGCGAGUGGCGGACGGGUGAGGAAUACAUCGGAAUCUACUUUUUCGUGGGGGAUAACGUAGGGAAACUUACGCUAAUACCGCAUACGACCUACGGGUGAAAGCAGGGGAUCUUCGGACCUUGCGCGACUGAAUGAGCCGAUGUCGGAUUAGCUAGUUGGCGGGGUAAAGGCCGACCAAGGCGACGAUCCGUAGCUGGUCUGAGAGGAUGAUCAGCCACACUGGAACUGAGACACGGUCCAGACUCCUACGGGAGGCAGCAGUGGGGAAUAUUGGACAAUGGGCGCAAGCCUGAUCCAGCCAUACCGCGUGGGUGAAGAAGGCCUUCGGGUUGUAAAGCCCUUUUGUUGGGAAAGAAAAGCAGCAGGUUAAUACCGCGCUGUUCUGACGGUACCCAAAGAAUAAGCACCGGCUAACUUCGUG
RNAcentral lists this ribosomal RNA (492 nucleotides) under uncultured bacterium. RNAcentral describes it as "partial 16S ribosomal RNA". It matches the Rfam family "Bacterial small subunit ribosomal RNA", at positions 29 to 507 of the family's 1533-position model. The record is from RNAcentral.